UGGGGAAUUUUGCGCAAUGGGGGAAACCCUGACGCAGCAACGCCGCGUGAGUGAUGAAGGCCUUCGGGUCGUAAAGCUCUGUCAGAGGGGAAGAAAUGCAGGGGUGCUAAUAUCAUCUUUGCUUGACGGUACCCUCAAAGGAAGCACCGGCUAACUCCGUGCCAGCAGCCGCGGUAAUACGGAGGGUGCGAGCGUUGUUCGGAAUUAUUGGGCGUAGAGCGCGUGUAGGCGGUUUGAUAAGUCUGAUGUGAAAGCCCCGGGCUCAACCUGGGAAGUGCAUUGGAAACUGUCAGACUUGAAUACGGGAGAGGGUAGUGGAAUUCCUAGUGUAGGAGUGAAAUCCGUAGAUAUUAGGAGGAACACCGGUGGCGAAGGCGGCUACCUGGACCGAUAUUGACGCUGAGGCGCGAAAGCGUGGGGAGCAAACAG
This 429-nucleotide ribosomal RNA is filed under the name uncultured bacterium. RNAcentral describes it as "bacterial SSU rRNA". It matches the Rfam family "Bacterial small subunit ribosomal RNA", at positions 355 to 775 of the family's 1533-position model. The record is from RNAcentral.